AUACUUACCUGGCAGGGGAGAUACCAUGAUCACGGAGGUGGUUUUCCCAGGACAAGGCUUAUCCAUUGCACUCCGGAUGUGCUGACCCCUGCGAUUUCCCCAAAUGUGGGUAACUCGACUGCAUAAUUUGUGGUAGUGGGGGACUGAGUUCGUGCUUUCCCCUA
The sequence is a small nuclear RNA, 164 nucleotides long. Its record names the gene U1. It matches the Rfam family "U1 spliceosomal RNA". From Rfam's summary of the family: U1 is a small nuclear RNA (snRNA) component of the spliceosome (involved in pre-mRNA splicing). The record is from Ensembl.